RNAcentral lists this ribosomal RNA (467 nucleotides) under uncultured bacterium. Its description in RNAcentral is "partial 16S ribosomal RNA". It matches the Rfam family "Bacterial small subunit ribosomal RNA", at positions 28 to 507 of the family's 1533-position model. The record is from RNAcentral.
GACGAACGCUGGCGGCGUGCUUAACACAUGCAAGUCGAACGGAAAGGCUCCAGCUUGCUGGAGUACUCGAGUGGCGAACGGGUGAGUAACACGUGGGUAAUCUGCCCUGCACUCUGGGAUAAGCCUGGGAAACUGGGUCUAAUACUGGAUAUGACCUUUCUCCUUAUGGGGUUUGGUGGAAAGUUUUUCGGUGUAGGAUGAGCCCGCGGCCUAUCAGCUUGUUGGUGGGGUGAUGGCCUACCAAGGCGACGACGGGUAGCCGGCCUGAGAGGGUGAUCGGCCACAUUGGGACUGAGAUACGGACCAGACUCCUACGGGAGGCAGCAGUGGGGAAUAUUGCACAAUGGGCGGAAGCCUGAUGCAGCGACGCCGCGUGAGGGAUGACGGCCUUCGGGUUGUAAAACUCUUUCAGCAGGGACGAAGCGUAAGUGACGGUACCUGCAGAAGAAGCACCGGCUAACUAUGUG